RNAcentral lists this ribosomal RNA (447 nucleotides) under Araneus ishisawai. RNAcentral's name for it is "partial 16S ribosomal RNA". It matches the Rfam family "Bacterial large subunit ribosomal RNA", at positions 1897 to 2620 of the family's 2925-position model. Lineage: Eukaryota; Metazoa; Arthropoda; Arachnida; Araneae; Araneidae. The record is from RNAcentral.
UUGAGUAUCCUGCUCAUGAAUUUUAAAUAGCCGCGGAAAUUUAACCGUGCUAAGGUAGCAUAAUCAUUAGCCUUUUAAUUAAAGGCUCGUAUGAACGGUAAAACAUUUCAAUUUCUUUAUUAAUUAAUUAUCUUUGAACUUAAACUAAGAAUAAAAAUGUUCUUAUAGAAAAAAUAGACAACAAGACCCUUUUGAACUUCACUUUUGUUUAGCUGGGGCAGCUUAAAAAAAAUUAUCUUUUUAUUAUUUUUAAUAUAAAUGAACCAGCAUAACUGAUUAUAUGAACAAGUUACCAAAGGGAUAACAGCGUAAUAUUUUUUUAAAGCUCUUAUUAAAAAAAAUGAUUACGACCUCGAUGUUGAAUUAGUAUAACUUUAUAAAUGCAGUAAUUUUAAAAGUAGGUCUGUUCGACCAUCAAUAUACUACAUGAUCUGAUUCCAAACCGGA